UGUUGCGAUCAUACCAGCACUAAUGCACCGGAUCCCAUCAGAACUCCGCAGCUAAGCGUGCUUGGGCGAGAGUAGUACUAGGAUGGGUGACCCCCUGGGAACUCCUCGUGUUGCAAUCCCC
RNAcentral lists this ribosomal RNA (121 nucleotides) under Helianthus annuus (common sunflower). The record is from RNAcentral. Lineage: Eukaryota; Viridiplantae; Streptophyta; Magnoliopsida; Asterales; Asteraceae.